Molecule: ribosomal RNA, 301 nt
Filed under: uncultured bacterium
Lineage: Bacteria
Description: partial 16S ribosomal RNA
Rfam family: Bacterial small subunit ribosomal RNA
Source: RNAcentral
CAGUCGCCGCGGUAAUACGAACCGUGCGAACGUUAUUCGGAAUCACUGGGCUUAAAGCGCGUGUAGGCGGAUCGCCGCGUCGGCUGCUGAAAUCCCCCGGCUCAACCGGGGAACUGGCACCGAUACGGGCGGUCUCGAGGGGGGUAGGGGGGUCUGGAACUUCCGGUGGAGCGGUGAAAUGCGUUGAGAUCGGAAGGAACGCCCGUGGCGAAAGCGAGGCCCUGGACCCUUUCUGACGCUGAGACGCGAAAGCCAGGGGAGCGAACGGGAUUAGAUACCCCCGUAGUCCCUGUCUCUUAUA